AGACCCGAAACCCGGUGAUCUAGCCAUGGGCAGGUUGAAGGUUGGGUAACACUAACUGGAGGACCGAACCGACUAAUGUUGAAAAAUUAGCGGAUGACCUGUGGCUGGGGGUGAAAGGCCAAUCAAACCGGGAGAUAGCUGGUUCUCCCCGAAAGCUAUUUAGGUAGCGCCUCGUGAAUUCAUCUCCGGGGGUAGAGCACUGUUUCGGCUAGGGGGCCAUCCCGGCUUACCAACCCGAUGCAAACUGCGAAUACCGGAGAAUGUUAUCACGGGAGACACACGGCGGGUGCUAACGUCCGUCGUGAAGAGGGAAACAACCCAGACCGCCAGCUAAGGUCCCAAAGUCAUGGUUAAGUGGGAAACGAUGUGGGAAGGCCCAGACAGCCAGGAUGUUGGCUUAGAAGCAGCCAUCAUUUAAAGAAAGCGUAAUAGCUCACUGGUCGAGUCGGCCUGCGCGGAAGAUGUA
This 466-nucleotide ribosomal RNA is filed under the name Salmonella enterica. Its description in RNAcentral is "partial 23S ribosomal RNA". It matches the Rfam family "Bacterial large subunit ribosomal RNA", at positions 711 to 1174 of the family's 2925-position model. Lineage: Bacteria; Pseudomonadati; Pseudomonadota; Gammaproteobacteria; Enterobacterales; Enterobacteriaceae. The record is from RNAcentral. RNAcentral also lists the same sequence under 2 other names.